This is a long non-coding RNA of Scophthalmus maximus (turbot), 1017 nucleotides long. RefSeq lists it as uncharacterized. Lineage: Eukaryota; Metazoa; Chordata; Actinopteri; Pleuronectiformes; Scophthalmidae. The transcript has 4 exons. The record is from RefSeq and is a predicted model, not a curated record.
GAUAUUGGCAGGGUGAUAAAAAGAAGAUUUGGGUUAGCGAACAAGAUCUGUGACAUUUAACAAAGCACAUACCACAGAAGCGAGGAGGAGAUUACGGAGAGAGAAAACAGCAUAGGAGAGAGAGAGAGAGAGAAAAAAUAACGACGAGCGAGAGAUGGAGUUGCUACGGGAAAGGAGAGCAGACUGAGGCGAGCCACGGGGGAGAAGGCAGCCGUGGGUGCCCUUGAAAUUGCCUGACUCAUUACUGCAGCAGCACGGCCGUGCGUGGUGAUGGCAGGCUCAGAGAGUGAGCUCUCGGCUGGGCUCCGACAGUCGUGGAGUGAAAAACGGCCCUGUUUUAAAACCAUCGGGGGAUCACUUCAAAGGCUGGCACCUUCACUCUCCCUCUUCAAACAACCACGCUGCAUUACAGCGAGGCAAAUGAUUUGGCAGCAGGAGCGUUUACAGAGGCAAAGGAUGCAAAUCAGCAGGAGGUAAAGCCCCCGACACAGCAACAAGACCCAUGGCCUGAGCUCUGAUCGUGACAUGCACUGACUGCCAGUGUUGAGCUGUCGGAGUUAAGCCGGGCAACAACAAGGAGGGCCCUGUUCAGACCUGGUAGUAACAUCCGUCCUGAGAGAUCCAAUCACAAGUGGACAGCUUUAGUAUUGUAGAUCUGGGAAGCCUCCCGUUCCUGCCAGAAUACAAAAUGCCAGAUCGCCGCCUUGAAAAGAGUUCCAAGCCAAGGGAAGAGCCGGUGCCCAUGGAAAAAAGGAAGCAUCUUGUGCUGGGCCUAAUUACUUCUGCUCCAAGAUUACACGUCUUUGACCUUUUCUCAGGCUUUCAGCGCAGACCCCAAUUGGAAGUUAAGGAGAACAGCAAUGAUGUUCACAGCACUGAUAAUUAUAUUCAAUGCACAACACAGAAGGUUACGACUGUAGCUCUGUGCAACACACCGCCUAUCUGACUAUGGAUGAGUGUUAUCUAUUCAUUGAAUUUACUGUCUUUUAUUCCAUGUUUAAAGAUCAUAUAUUCUCU